This 253-nucleotide ribosomal RNA is filed under the name uncultured bacterium. RNAcentral's name for it is "partial 16S ribosomal RNA". It matches the Rfam family "Bacterial small subunit ribosomal RNA", at positions 524 to 776 of the family's 1533-position model. The record is from RNAcentral.
UACGUAGGGUGCAGGCGUUAAUCGGAAUUACUGGGCGUAAAGCGUGCGCAGGCGGUUUUGUAAGCCAGAUGUGAAAGCCCCGGGCUCAACCUGGGAAUGGCAUUUGGGACUGCAAGGCUGGAGUUUGGCAGAGGAGACUGGAAUUCCUGGUGUAGCAGUGAAAUGCGUUGAGAUCGGAAGGAACGCCCGCGGCGAAAGCGAGGUCCUGGACUCUAACUGACGUUGAGGCGCGAAAGCCAGGGGAGCGAACGGG